CUUUCAGGGGCGGAGGAGAGGGGGGAGAAUGAGAGGCGUGGCGGCGGCUCAGGACGUGCUCGCCGGCUGCCUGGCGCGCAGGGUUGGAUCGGGGCACUAGGGUUUCCCCGCCGCCGCCCCACAGCAGUCAGGGGUUGACAGGGAGAAAGCAGUCGGGCGGCGACGGAGGCGCCGAUGGCUCGGACUACAUCUAUGUGACGACGACGGCUCGGGAGCGGACGAGCGGCCGAUCCAGAAAGCCAACCCGGUGGAUUGAUUCUUCGUCUAAGAUACGCGCAUACACAAGAAGCAGCCACGCAGACAGCUGGAUGGAAUUUUCUUUCAGGAGCACACACACAUAUGGAUAUGGAAUGCAAGCCGCCGGUGAAGACAGCUUCAGCCUGACUGCCGAGGACAGAAUCACGGAAACGUCAGCUUCAUAUCAAGUUAGGAACCCACCGCAAGGACCACACUCAGAAGACCAUCCCGCUGGAGGAGAUCCUGACUAUUGAUGUCCAGCCGGGGUGGAAGAAGGGCACGAAAAUCACCUUCCGAGAUGGAAGGAUCUGAUUUUUCCUGUGCAAGGAUACGGAUGGUUGUGACUUGUGGGGUCGCCUGGGGAGGCGACUGCGGCCGGGAGCAGCGGCACAUCGGCGGACAACAAUACAUGUGUAGAGCGCAUCGGCAGCAGCUGCACGUCCACGAUGGAUGAGCAACAAUGCGAAGCAGGUGUAGGUGUGGGGGUAAGGACGUGUCUUGAAACUAGACUUUGAAGAGAAGUUCAUCCAUAUAUGGGAAUUCUACCUUCUAUGCCUCUGGUUUCAGAUCAUGAGCAGUUAGAAAUUACCAGGAAUUGUGAAUAAGCAAGAAAGCUUCUGAAGAUAUCCGUGCAUUAUCAUCUCUUAUGCAACUGCUACUGCAAUUGGCUCCUUUCCAAGCACGGGUAAACAAAGAGAGGGAAAUUGUUGGACGACUGAAAAUCCGGACCAAAAAUACAGCAGAAGAAAAUAAUAUUUUUUUGGAGGUCCAAAUGCAAUGGGGAUUUUACUUAAUUAUUUCCAGGAAAUAUGAAGCCAAAUGCCAGAAGAUGGGCCAUAAGGGAACCACCAGGGUGCGACACGGCCACCCCACACGGGUUGGCCCUAGACCGCGCCACAUGGAUGCAUGGGCCCUUGGGGGCUCACACCGUAAAUUUUCGUUUGCCCCAGAAAAAGUCACAGAAUUCAUGGGGUCUUUUCGCCGCCGUCUACAAGGCGGAACCUAGGCAGUGCACUUUUUAUCUCAGGUGGAGCGAUUUUGACAGGGAAUCUCUUUGGAGGGGGAAAUCAAAGCCAUCGUUAUCACCAACACUCUCUUCAUCAACGGGAUUAUCAUCUCCAUCAAGUUCUUCACCAGCACAUCUCAUGUCCAAACCCUAAUUCAUCCAUCUUCUCAAUCUUCGUAUCAAAUCUCACAUUGGUUGCUGAGACUACUUAUGUGUGUCUAUUACACCUUUUAGUUCAUAAAUAGGAGAUUUAUUGGUGAAAAUUGUUAUGUUCAGAUUGUUCAUCAUAUAUUUAUAUCCAUGGAUCAUGAUCCAUAUCUUGUCUUGUGAGUAGAUCCAUUAGUUCUUGAGGACAUGGGAGAAGUUUUGUUGCUAGUAAUGAUGUGAAGUUGAAUACCGUUUAAUAUUUGGUGAUAUGCCGUGUUAUUCUUCCUCUUUUUGGGAGGCUUGUUAUCCAGACAGAAUGCUUACCACUAACCCACAAGGUUAUUUUUGGUGGAAAACUAUUCUCAAGUUAGUUCCUGAGUUUCGACAGGCAGCUACUCCUAAACUAGGCUCUGGAAGCACUGUUAGAUUUUGGAUUGACAACUGGAAUCAGGGCAUCAUGAAAGACAGAUUCCUAGAGUUGUUCUCUUUCAGUAGACAAGAGAA
Triticum aestivum (bread wheat) is the source of this 1894-nucleotide long non-coding RNA. RefSeq lists it as uncharacterized. The transcript has 7 exons. NCBI's taxonomy places the organism in Eukaryota, Viridiplantae, Streptophyta, Magnoliopsida, Poales, Poaceae. The record is from RefSeq and is a predicted model, not a curated record.